GACGGAGGGUGCAAGCGUUGUUCGGAAUUACUGGGCGUAAAGCGUACGUAGGCGGUUGAUUAAGUCAAAUGUAAAAGCCCGGGGCUCAACCCCGUGGUCGCACUUGAUACUGGUCGACUAGAGGGCGAUAGAGGAAAGCGGAAUUCCGAGUGUAGCGGUGAAAUGCGUAGAUAUUCGGAGGAACAUCGGUAGCGAAAGCGGCUUUCUGGGUCGCUCCUGACGCUGAGGUACGAAAGCGUGGGUAGCAAAC
This 250-nucleotide ribosomal RNA is filed under the name uncultured bacterium. RNAcentral's name for it is "partial 16S ribosomal RNA". It matches the Rfam family "Bacterial small subunit ribosomal RNA", at positions 524 to 773 of the family's 1533-position model. The record is from RNAcentral.